GUAGCUCAGCUGGAUAGAGUACUCGGCUACGAACCGAGCGGUCGGAGGUUCGAAUGCGCCU
This 61-nucleotide transfer RNA is filed under the name Klebsiella pneumoniae. RNAcentral's name for it is "tRNA-Arg". Lineage: Bacteria; Pseudomonadati; Pseudomonadota; Gammaproteobacteria; Enterobacterales; Enterobacteriaceae. The record is from RNAcentral.